This is a long non-coding RNA of Mytilus californianus (California mussel), 470 nucleotides long. RefSeq lists it as uncharacterized. Lineage: Eukaryota; Metazoa; Mollusca; Bivalvia; Mytilida; Mytilidae. The transcript is spliced from 2 exons. The record is from RefSeq and is a predicted model, not a curated record.
UAAAAAUUAAAGGGCCCUUAAGGUCAUAUCAGUUACAAACAAGUGAAAAAGACACAAAAAAGAGAAAAAGCCUACUCCUACUCCAUGGUCCAUGACUUUCUAUGACACAUUCUACAAUUUCAAGCACUAUUAGCUUUUAUGUUCUUCUGUUGAGCAAAUAUGCGCAAAUUUAACCAAAAGACUGGAAAAUUAGAAUCAUUGCAGGCUGGGACUAAUAGACGUAUUUUACAUUUGAAUGCAUUACUUAAAGACACACACAAUUUCCGUUAUCCUCUAUACCUCAAAAGUCCUUCAAACAAAAGUUGAUAGAUAGAUGUCUGACUGUAAAUCCGAUAAAACGAAAAUCUAAAUUAAGCCGGAAACUGAAAUUUAAUUAUAAAGUGUUGUCAACCUUGUUCUUACUACCGUAACUUUCUUUUUAUUAUUUAAUGUUAUCUUUUAUUGUUAGAUAAAAUUUAACUACAACUUUA